ACAUAACUCAAGUUUAUUAUAGCAUUCUUUUUCAUCUACUAUAGACAUAAUAUUUCUACAUUAUUUAAAAUGCUAACGUUUUUGAGUACAUAUUUAAAAUCUACAGAUUUCUAGCUCCCGUCAAACGUAAAAGUCAACGCAUGCUGUGUAAACAGUAGCACAGAAUAAAGACACAGAAGGUCGACUCAGCCAAAAAAGCGUAACCGCUGCCACGCCAUGAUUCGUCAUCAAAAUGCUGACGCCAUGGUCCUAGCCAGUGCGCAUAUGAAAGGCAUUCCCCCCUGGAUGUCCGCCAUUUUGAACAUUAUCAGGGGGUGAAUGCCUCUUAAUAUCAAAAGUUGGUUAAAACUAAUAGACCUUCUUAUAACAUCAAACGCGGACAACACUUAUUUUGGCUCGCCAACGACUGUAGGACGUUUGACGUCAUGGUUCAGGGAACUAAGUAAUAUAAACUGUCAGGUAUAUUUACAUACUGACCAUAAAAAUGAAAAUAUUCCCUUCAAGGAUAGUUGAAUAGUGUUUUAUAAAGUUGGGACUAUUAACCACCUUUUUGGAAUACAAUCUUGACGAGCAUUACAUGGUGAUUCAGUUAUAUAUAGAGUGUUUGCACUCAUUCCCCAGGGACCAACUCAGUCUAAUUAAGUCUAAUUAAAAUUCUUUUGAAUUGGAACACCAACAUGGCGGCUGUGACGUCAUGUGCAAACACUCUAUAGGCCGGUGUUUCCACUUGCAAUUCUUGCUGCGAUUCGAUUUUCGUCUUCUGAUGGACGUGAAGGAAGGGAUAGGUUAUGAAUGUUCUGAGUACAUGUACCUCCUCUCCACAGAGUAGAGACAUACAGAGACGUAACUAGUGUACCCACUUUUUUUGUGCGCAUGCUCGGCAAGUUACUAGAUGCAUGCAUCUGAUUGGAUGACGACCUGAUGACGACUCAUUUUAAACUUGCUGAGCACGCGCAGUUGAUCAUUUUUCGCCCGGUCGCCUAAAAAAAGUGGGUACAUGAUAACGUAAUCUUCCGCAGUGUUUACAACGGUCAGUUACGUCUCUGUAUGUCUUAUCUACUCUGUGUCCUCUCUAAGCAUUCAUAACUCAUACACUUGUUUACAUCCAUCAGAAAUAGAAAAUCGCAGCAAAAAUAGACCAAAGAAGUGCCUGGGUCACGCAAUUUUUAAUACAGAGAAAAAAUACACAGUGCAUUGUGGGUUACUUCUGGGUCAAUAAAGCGCUCUGCUUGCCCUUCGACCCCCAAUAUAUUUGAAAUGCCUGACCGGGAGCUAAAAUAUUUAUAUAUACUAUAUAUUAAAAUAGGUUAAAUACCCGUCUACCCCUCCUAAAAAUAACUUAAACUUUUGUCUAUAAUAAAACUAACUUUAUAAUACUACGAUAUGUCGUUCGUGACAAUGUCUCACGCUGAACAACGAGCCUUGCUGUAGCAAGGAUAAUAUUUACAUUAUAUCUAAAUACGGCCUGAAUAUGUUGUCCCUUCAAAGACUGCGCGGGUGGACGCAGGUAAACCGCGGUUUGACGGGCGUUAAGCGCCUCAGUUAAAUACAUAUCUGCUUUUCAAAAGUCAAAGAUCAAAAUGCACGCAGUCAAACCGUGCGAUGCGCGAAGACCUCGCGGUUCAACCUCAAUAGACCUCUUUCAAGGUUAACGACGCCAUAGUGAAACACAAUAGCGCAAGGGCUGCAAACACAAUGAAAUUCCAUAUAGAGUGUUUGCACUCGUUCCCAGGGACUAACUCAACAAAAGCCAUGGCGGCCAUGUUGGUGUUCCAGACAAUAGAAUCUAAUUAAAAUUCUUUUGAAUUGGAACAUCAACAUGGUGGCUGUGACGUCAUUGCAAACGCAAUGGUGAGAACAAUAGAUUCAAGAUGGCGUCUUUAACCUUGGAAGGGCCUAUUGAAUACACCGGAAAGUACGUCACUUUGUCUGCAGAGCCUCGUUUUCGUGUAUCUUUUUUAUAUAAACAAUAUUUUAUUAAAUUUAAUACGAUUGCUCCAACAGCAUCAAGGGUUAUCAAGGGGGCUUUCGCGUAUCUGACAUCAGUCAAAGCCCAUGCUUCAAUCACGUAGACGAGCUUCUAUAGCCAAGAUGACGUACUUCCGGAAACGUGCAUUGAUAUUGUUUUUAUCAUCGUUUGCAUCAAAGGACAAACCGUCACAGAUAGAAAUAUUGUCUAUGUGAAACUUCUGGAACGAACAUUUGAAGGUUUUAUUUUUGCUGAACUUCAAAUCCCCGUUACAAGCUUGCAAACCACACCAAUCACAGUAAAUAUAGAAAUCUUUUGAGAAAGCAGCAUCGUUUUUUAACUGCUUUGGUAAUAAACAAAACAAAACAAAACAAAACAAAACAAAACGAUAAAAUUCUAUACAAAUCCUAAAAACAAGCAAACACGGAUCUUAUUUUGAAAUGUCGUGGUUAAAAAUUAUCGCUAGGUUUUACUAAGCACUAUUGUGCAGCAGAUGGUGGUUAACCUGUAGUUAUCAGAGUGAGAAAACAAUGUGGGCCUCUUCGUCGCAAUCACUUGUCUUGUAAUUGUGGCCAAUUAAAUAGGCUCACCACCCUCUGUUGUCGUGUAAUGCUUACUAAAAACUAGCAAUUGAAAGGACAGCAAUUCAGGCCAUCGAAACAAUAAAAUACGAUAUUCUAUACCGUGUUUUGGGGCGAAUGUCAGUCAAACAUUGAGAGGAGAUCAUCGCUGAGAUCUGAAGUCUCCAAGUACGGAAGAAAAUCUGCUGGGUCAAGAUUGCCCGGAAGCUCCUGGAAAUGAGAAGAGAUUUAGUUGAAGAAGUUUACGAAGAAGUUUGGUAAGAGUACGAUCCCUAAUCUACUCCUUUUACAAUUUCUUUCUUCUUCAUUCACAUAGUGUUAAACACAUUGUGAAAAUCACACCAGUAUCACCAUCAGCAUCAUCACCAUCAUAUGGCAUCAUUAUCAUAACCACCACCAUCAUCAUCAGCACACUAUCACCAUCACCACCACCACCACCAUCAUCACCGCCAUUAUCAUCAUCGCCACCAUCAUCAUUAACAUAACCACACUAUCACCACCACCACCACCACCACCACCAUAAUCAUAAUCAUAACCACACUAUCACCACCACCACCACCACCAUAAUCAUAAUCAUAACCACACUAUCACCACCACCACCACCACCACCAUAAUCAUAAUCAUAACCACACUAUCACCACCACCACCAUAAUCAUAAUCAUAACCACACUAUCACCACCACCACCAUAAUCAUAACCACACUAUCACUACCACCACCACCACAAUCAUAACCACCCCCCC
Paramuricea clavata is the source of this 3291-nucleotide non-coding RNA. The record is from the annotation of a GenBank genome assembly. Lineage: Eukaryota; Metazoa; Cnidaria; Anthozoa; Malacalcyonacea; Plexauridae.